CCACGCUGCCCUGACUCUGCCAUGGGCACCAGGCUCCUCUGCUGGGCAGCCUGUGUCUCCUGGGGGCAGACCACACAGGUGCUGGAGUCUCCCCAUCCCUGAGACACAAGGUAGCAAAGAAGGGAAAGGAUGUAGCUCUCAGAUAUGAUCCAAUUUCAGGUCAUAAUGUCCUUUAUUGAUAACGACAGAGCCUGGGGCAGGGCCUGGAGUUUCCAAUUUACUUCCAAGACAAGGAUGCAGCAGACAAACUGGAGCUUCCCCGUGAUUGGUUCUCUGCAGAGGCCUGAGGAAUCUGUCUGCAUUCUGAAGAUCCAGCGCACACAGCAGGGGGACUCGGCCAUGUAUCUCUGUGCCAGCAGCUCAGCCACAGCACCGAAGCUGCGUGCACAACUGCUCCAGUGUCAGCUUGGCUCCCUAGGAAAUGGCGUUUCUAGAACCUGA
Molecule: non-coding RNA, 441 nt
Organism: Chlorocebus sabaeus (green monkey)
Lineage: Eukaryota; Metazoa; Chordata; Mammalia; Primates; Cercopithecidae
Source: RefSeq, a predicted model, not a curated record